GACGAACGCUGGCGGCGUGCUUAACACAUGCAAGUCGAACGGUGAACGAGGGAGCUUGCUCCCUCCGGAUCAGUGGCGAACAGGUGAGUAACACGUGAGCAAUCUGCCCCGAACUCUGGGAUAAGCGUUGGAAACGACGUCUAAUACCGGAUACGACGCGGGAGGGCAUCCUCUCCGCGUGGAAAGAACUUCGGUUCGGGAUGAGCUCGCGGCCUAUCAGCUUGUUGGUGAGGUAACGGCUCACCAAGGCGACGACGGGUAGCCGGCCUGAGAGGGUGACCGGCCACACUGGGACUGAGACACGGCCCAGACUCCUACGGGAGGCAGCAGUGGGGAAUAUUGCACAAUGGGCGCAAGCCUGAUGCAGCAACGCCGCGUGAGGGACGACGGCCUUCGGGUUGUAAACCUCUUUUAGCAGGGAAGAAGCGAAAGUGACGGUACCUGCAGAAAAAGCACCGGCUAACUACGUG
Molecule: ribosomal RNA, 470 nt
Filed under: uncultured bacterium
Lineage: Bacteria
Description: partial 16S ribosomal RNA
Rfam family: Bacterial small subunit ribosomal RNA
Source: RNAcentral